This 501-nucleotide transfer RNA is filed under the name uncultured Alphaproteobacteria bacterium. RNAcentral describes it as "partial contains 16S ribosomal RNA, intergenic spacer and 23S ribosomal RNA". The stretch from base 150 to 223 matches the Rfam family "tRNA". Lineage: Bacteria; Pseudomonadati; Pseudomonadota; Alphaproteobacteria. The record is from RNAcentral.
UGCGGCUGGAUCCCCUCCUUUCUAAGGAGUCAUCGGGGGGGAAACCUCCCGGUCAUUCCCAGUCAACGCCCGCGCUGGUCGCGGGCCACCAUCCUAUUUAGUUGUGAGGGACCCGUCGGGUUCUUUGCAUCCUUUCGAGCGGGCUUGUUGGGCCUAUAGCUCAGUUGGUUAGAGCGCACGCCUGAUAAGCGUGAGGUCGGUAGUUCAAGUCUACCUAGGCCCACUACGCGGUAAGGGGGUGUAGCUCAGUUGGGAGAGCGCCUGCUUUGCAAGCAGGAGGUCAUCGGUUCGAUCCCGAUCACCUCCACCAGGCGACAGGGGCGAGCCCUCCUCUUCGGAUGAGGAGGUCUCUCCCGUGGCGUCUGACGCGCCUUGAAGGGUCUUUGACAAUCGGGCAUUUCCAAGUGCUUGGGCAAAUUUCCGUGAGGUCGCUUUGGGCCGUACAUCUCAAGGAGGGAUGGACGGUCAAGUGAACAAGGGCGUACGGUGGAUGCCUUGGCA